Molecule: non-coding RNA, 21 nt
Filed under: Arabidopsis thaliana (thale cress)
Lineage: Eukaryota; Viridiplantae; Streptophyta; Magnoliopsida; Brassicales; Brassicaceae
Source: RNAcentral
CUUCACCACGUGCUACCUCCG